This 391-nucleotide unclassified non-coding RNA is filed under the name soil metagenome. RNAcentral's name for it is "partial contains 5.8S ribosomal RNA, internal transcribed spacer 2, and large subunit ribosomal RNA". The stretch from base 1 to 122 matches the Rfam family "5.8S ribosomal RNA", at positions 35 to 154 of the family's 154-position model. The record is from RNAcentral.
GAUGAAGAACGUAGCGAAAUGCGAUACUUGGUGUGAAUUGCAGAAUCCCGUGAACCAUCGAGUCUUUGAACGCAAGUUGCGCCCGAAGCCACUAGGCCGAGGGCACGCCUGCCUGGGCGUCACACGCCGUUGCCCCCCCAUCUACUCCUUCGGGAUUGCGGGGGGGCGGAUGAUGGCCUCCCGUGCGCCUAGCCGCGCGGUUGGCAUAGAUACCAAGUCCUCGGCGACGCACGCCACGACAAUCGGUGGUUGCGAAACCUCGGUUGCCCGUCGUGUGCGUUCGUCGCGCAUCGAGGGCUCGAAAAAAUGCUCGGCUCCGGCUGGGCUUUCAACGCGACCCCAGGUCAGGCGGGGUUACCCGCUGAAUUUAAGCAUAUCAAUAAGCGGAGGA